This 603-nucleotide long non-coding RNA is filed under the name Trifolium pratense (red clover). RNAcentral's name for it is "long non-coding RNA (TPRA_LNC007145)". The record is from RNAcentral. Lineage: Eukaryota; Viridiplantae; Streptophyta; Magnoliopsida; Fabales; Fabaceae.
AAGAAAACAGGAAAAAUUGCAGGAAAUUACUGAUGUUCACUACGCUGGGGGCGUAGCCCAUCACGCGCCGCGUGAUGGAGAUCACAGGGAGCCAAGUUUUCACUCUGAUCACGCGCGGCGUGACACCUGACCACGCGCAGCGUGAAGCCUUGUUCAGGAGUUGGUUUGCUCUCUGACUUGAUCACGCGCCGCGUGAUACCGUUACCACGCGCGGCGUAGUUGAUGGAUUUGCAACCACGCGCGACGUGAUAUAUCUGACGCGCGGCGUGGUUGCAAUGUUAUAUAAGGAAUUCUGUUUUUCUGAAAAAGGGUUGGAAAAUUUGGGAAUCUGAUCUUGAUCUUGGGAGUUCCAGGCACGAUUUGAAGACUGAUCCUGUGUUCCAUAGGCUAAAGGUGGCGAGAUUGGAAGCAUUCAACAUCAUGGGAGUGGAUUCCUUGAAGUUGGAGCAAGAAUUGAGCUACUUCACGAUGAGAGGCUAGACCUCCAUUGAGGUUGGAUCCUGAUGAGGAACUAAACUAAUGUAUUCCAUGUAAUUCAAUUGUAUCUGUAUUGAAUCUCUCUUUUAUGAAUGUUAUUCAAUGAAGUUCUGUCCUUAAUGCUUU